GGGUUGUGAGGUUAAGCGACUAAGCGUACACGGUGGAUGCCCUGGCAGUCAGAGGCGAUGAAGGACGUGCUAAUCUGCGAUAAGCGUCGGUAAGGUGAUAUGAACCGUUAUAACCGGCGAUUUCCGAAUGGGGAAACCCAGUGUGAUUCGUCACACUAUCAUUAACUGAAUCCAUAGGUUAAUGAGGCGAACCGGGGGAACUGAAACAUCUAAGUACCCCGAGGAAAAGAAAUCAACCGAGAUUCCCCCAGUAGCGGCGAGCGAACGGGGAGCAGCCCAGAGCCUGAAUCAGUGUGUGUGUUAGUGGAAGCGUCUGGAAAGGCGUGCGAUACAGGGUGACAGCCCCGUACACAAAAAUGCACAUACUGUGAGCUCGAUGAGUAGGGCGGGACACGUGGUAUCCUGUCUGAAUAUGGGGGGACCAUCCUCCAAGGCUAAAUACUCCUGACUGACCGAUAGUGAACCAGUACCGUGAGGGAAAGGCGAAAAGAACCCCGGCGAGGGGAGUGAAAAAGAACCUGAAACCGUGUACGUACAAGCAGUGGGAGCACGCUUAGGCGUGUGACUGCGUACCUUUUGUAUAAUGGGUCAGCGACUUAUAUUCUGUAGCAAGGUUAACCGAAUAGGGGAGCCGAAGGGAAACCGAGUCUUAACUGGGCGUUAAGUUGCAGGGUAUAGACCCGAAACCCGGUGAUCUAGCCAUGGGCAGGUUGAAGGUUGGGUAACACUAACUGGAGGACCGAACCGACUAAUGUUGAAAAAUUAGCGGAUGACUUGUGGCUGGGGGUGAAAGGCCAAUCAAACCGGGAGAUAGCUGGUUCUCCCCGAAAGCUAUUUAGGUAGCGCCUCGUGAAUUCAUCUCCGGGGGUAGAGCACUGUUUCGGCAAGGGGGUCAUCCCGACUUACCAACCCGAUGCAAACUGCGAAUACCGGAGAAUGUUAUCACGGGAGACACACGGCGGGUGCUAACGUCCGUCGUGAAGAGGGAAACAACCCAGACCGCCAGCUAAGGUCCCAAAGUCAUGGUUAAGUGGGAAACGAUGUGGGAAGGCCCAGACAGCCAGGAUGUUGGCUUAGAAGCAGCCAUCAUUUAAAGAAAGCGUAAUAGCUCACUGGUCGAGUCGGCCUGCGCGGAAGAUGUAACGGGGCUAAACCAUGCACCGAAGCUGCGGCAGCGACGCUUAUGCGUUGUUGGGUAGGGGAGCGUUCUGUAAGCCUGUGAAGGUGUGCUGUGAGGUAUGCUGGAGGUAUCAGAAGUGCGAAUGCUGACAUAAGUAACGAUAAAGCGGGUGAAAAGCCCGCUCGCCGGAAGACCAAGGGUUCCUGUCCAACGUUAAUCGGGGCAGGGUGAGUCGACCCCUAAGGCGAGGCCGAAAGGCGUAGUCGAUGGGAAACAGGUUAAUAUUCCUGUACUUGGUGUUACUGCGAAGGGGGGACGGAGAAGGCUAUGUUGGCCGGGCGACGGUUGUCCCGGUUUAAGCGUGUAGGCUGGUUUUCCAGGCAAAUCCGGAAAAUCAAGGCCGAGGCGUGAUGACGAGGCACUACGGUGCUGAAGCAACAAAUGCCCUGCUUCCAGGAAAAGCCUCUAAGCAUCAGGUAACAUCAAAUCGUACCCCAAACCGACACAGGUGGUCAGGUAGAGAAUACCAAGGCGCUUGAGAGAACUCGGGUGAAGGAACUAGGCAAAAUGGUGCCGUAACUUCGGGAGAAGGCACGCUGAUACGUAGGUGAAGCGACUUGCUCGUGGAGCUGAAAUCAGUCGAAGAUACCAGCUGGCUGCAACUGUUUAUUAAAAACACAGCACUGUGCAAACACGAAAGUGGACGUAUACGGUGUGACGCCUGCCCGGUGCCGGAAGGUUAAUUGAUGGGGUUAGCGCAAGCGAAGCUCUUGAUCGAAGCCCCGGUAAACGGCGGCCGUAACUAUAACGGUCCUAAGGUAGCGAAAUUCCUUGUCGGGUAAGUUCCGACCUGCACGAAUGGCGUAAUGAUGGCCAGGCUGUCUCCACCCGAGACUCAGUGAAAUUGAACUCGCUGUGAAGAUGCAGUGUACCCGCGGCAAGACGGAAAGACCCCGUGAACCUUUACUAUAGCUUGACACUGAACAUUGAGCCUUGAUGUGUAGGAUAGGUGGGAGGCUUUGAAGUGUGGACGCCAGUCUGCAUGGAGCCGACCUUGAAAUACCACCCUUUAAUGUUUGAUGUUCUAACGUGGACCCGUGAUCCGGGUUGCGGACAGUGUCUGGUGGGUAGUUUGACUGGGGCGGUCUCCUCCUAAAGAGUAACGGAGGAGCACGAAGGUUGGCUAAUCCUGGUCGGACAUCAGGAGGUUAGUGCAAUGGCAUAAGCCAGCUUGACUGCGAGCGUGACGGCGCGAGCAGGUGCGAAAGCAGGUCAUAGUGAUCCGGUGGUUCUGAAUGGAAGGGCCAUCGCUCAACGGAUAAAAGGUACUCCGGGGAUAACAGGCUGAUACCGCCCAAGAGUUCAUAUCGACGGCGGUGUUUGGCACCUCGAUGUCGGCUCAUCACAUCCUGGGGCUGAAGUAGGUCCCAAGGGUAUGGCUGUUCGCCAUUUAAAGUGGUACGCGAGCUGGGUUUAGAACGUCGUGAGACAGUUCGGUCCCUAUCUGCCGUGGGCGCUGGAGAACUGAGGGGGGCUGCUCCUAGUACGAGAGGACCGGAGUGGACGCAUCACUGGUGUUCGGGUUGUCAUGCCAAUGGCACUGCCCGGUAGCUAAAUGCGGAAGAGAUAAGUGCUGAAAGCAUCUAAGCACGAAACUUGC
This 2780-nucleotide ribosomal RNA is filed under the name Escherichia coli. Its description in RNAcentral is "partial 23S ribosomal RNA". It matches the Rfam family "Bacterial large subunit ribosomal RNA". Lineage: Bacteria; Pseudomonadati; Pseudomonadota; Gammaproteobacteria; Enterobacterales; Enterobacteriaceae. The record is from RNAcentral. RNAcentral also lists the same sequence under 1 other name.